This 77-nucleotide transfer RNA is filed under the name Planctomycetota bacterium. Its description in RNAcentral is "Planctomycetes bacterium (bioreactor metagenome) tRNA-Ile". It matches the Rfam family "tRNA". From Rfam's summary of the family: Transfer RNA (tRNA) molecules are approximately 80 nucleotides in length. Their secondary structure includes four short double-helical elements and three loops (D, anti-codon, and T loops). The record is from RNAcentral. Lineage: Bacteria; Pseudomonadati; Planctomycetota.
GGGAGCGUAGCUCAGCUGGUUAGAGCAGGCGUCUUAUACACGCCCGGUCGGGGGUUCGAGUCCCUCCGCUCCUACCA